AAUCACACUAAAUUCCACAAGAUGAUUUGAUUCCUUUAUCGUCCUUUCCCCGCACUCAUUCAUGUUCAACGCCCACUUCUGCUCUCUUCAUCCUCUGUUUUUCUCACUCCCCCAUUUUCAUCUAUAAAAUAAUAAACCAGAAAACAAACAAGGAAACCCCACAACUCACAAAGCCACAAAUUUCUUUCAUUAAGUUCAGCAGUGCUUGCUUAGUACUGUUUUCCAUGGGGAACAUGCAAAUUAUUGCUAUGUCUUUGGCCAUGUGAUCUUUGACCACCCAAAUAUAACAUUGUUCAAGAAAAAAAAGAUUAUAUUUUUCUUUCUGCUCUUGUUUGCCUCUUCAUACCUUUGGGUUUGGAACUACAAAGUUAGAAGAUAGUACUGUUAUUAACUAGCUAAGACCAGAUGGCACUUAAUAUCCUAUCUCCAGCUGAAAUCAAGGCCAUCUCUUUCUUGGAUUCUACUAAAUCCAAUCGCCUACCUAAGCUUCAAGGUGGGCUUAGUUUGAAGAGGAAGGAUUGUGGGGGAAGAAGAAUUCAGUGUUCAGUUCAGAAUCAGAAUCAGAAUCAGCCACCUCCAGCUUGGCCAGGAAGAGCCUGUCCAGAAGCUGGACGCAAGACAUGGGAUGGUCCUAAGCCUAUAUCAAUUGUUGGAUCUACUGGUUCCAUCGGAACGCAGACUUUGGACAUUGUAGCGGAGAAUCCAGAUAAAUUCAAAGUUGUGGCACUCGCAGCUGGGUCAAAUGUUACUCUUCUUGCAGAUCAGGUGAGGACAUUCAAACCUCAACUGAUUGCUGUUAGAAACGAGUCAUUAGUUGAUGAACUCAAAGAGGCCCUGGCUGAUGUUGAGGAAAAGCCUGAGAUUAUUCCUGGGGAGCAAGGAGUUGUAGAGGUUGCUCGUCAUCCAGAUGCUGUCAGGGGAGUUACAGGAAUAGUAGGUUGCGCAGGCCUAAAGCCUACGGUUGCUGCAAUAGAAGCUGGAAAAGACAUAUGCUUGGCCAAUAAAGAGACACUAAUUGCUGGAGGUCCUUUUGUCCUCCCUCUUGCUCACAAAUAUAACGUAAAAAUUCUUCCAGCUGAUUCUGAACAUUCUGCCAUUUUUCAGUGUAUUCAAGGCCUGCCGGAGGGUGCAUUGCGGCGCAUCAUUUUAACUGCUUCUGGUGGGGCUUUCAGGGAUUGGCCUGUUGAGAAGUUGAAAGAAGUUAAAGUAGCUGAUGCUUUGAAGCAUCCCAACUGGAAUAUGGGUAAAAAGAUUACUGUAGACUCUGCUACCCUUUUCAACAAGGGUUUAGAAGUCAUUGAAGCCCACUAUUUGUUCGGAGCUGAAUAUGAUAAUAUUGAUAUCAUAAUUCAUCCACAGUCUAUAAUACAUUCAAUGAUUGAAACACAGGACUCAUCUGUUCUCGCACAGUUGGGGUGGCCUGAUAUGCGCUUGCCUAUCCUUUACACGAUGUCAUGGCCAGACAGAGUUUACUGUUCUGAAAUUACUUGGCCUCGCCUAGAUCUUUGCAAGCUUGGAUCACUAACUUUUAAAGCUCCUGACAAUGUAAAAUACCCAUCUAUGGAUCUUGCUUAUGCUGCUGGACGAGCUGGAGGCACCAUGACAGGAGUCCUCAGUGCUGCUAAUGAGAAAGCUGUAGAAAUGUUCAUAGAUGAAAAGAUAAGCUAUCUUGACAUUUUCAAGGUUGUGGAGCUAACAUGUGAUAAGCACCAGGCAGAAUUAGUGGUCUCACCCUCUCUUGAGGAAAUUAUACAUUAUGACUUGUGGGCUCGAGAAUAUGCUGCUACCCUGCAGCACUCUUCUGGUCCAAGUCCUGUUUUUGCUUGAUUGGACCACAUGCCAACGUCAUACAAGCAUCUAUUCGGCCCUGGCAAGACCCUGCCAAAACUGGCAUUCUUACAGUUUAAGCGCUUGCACAAGUGUAUACUGAGAUAGGCAACCAGAACAUGAGAUAGGCAACCAGAAUAUGUCCCAGUUUAAGUGCUUCCAUAGUGCAUUUCUUGCAUACUUAAGGAUCGUGAAAGUUAUGGCAAUAAAACCCCAAAGAAAUGCAUUUUGCAGAAAAGUUAAGAUCUGGGGAUUGAAUAACAGUA
Molecule: RNA transcript, 2093 nt
Organism: Populus euphratica (Euphrates poplar)
Lineage: Eukaryota; Viridiplantae; Streptophyta; Magnoliopsida; Malpighiales; Salicaceae
Gene name: 1-deoxy-D-xylulose 5-phosphate reductoisomerase, chloroplastic
Exons: 13
Source: RefSeq, a predicted model, not a curated record